GCCGGGGUGGUGAAACUGGUAGACGCGCUGGACUCAAAAUCCAGUGGGAGCGAUCCUGUGCGGGUUCGAGUCCCGCCCCCGGCA
This 84-nucleotide transfer RNA is filed under the name Candidatus Zhuqueibacterota bacterium. RNAcentral describes it as "candidate division KSB1 bacterium (activated sludge metagenome) tRNA-Leu". It matches the Rfam family "tRNA". From Rfam's summary of the family: Transfer RNA (tRNA) molecules are approximately 80 nucleotides in length. Their secondary structure includes four short double-helical elements and three loops (D, anti-codon, and T loops). Lineage: Bacteria; Pseudomonadati. The record is from RNAcentral.